CUGCAGAGAAUACAGAUGGUGAAUGUCCAAUUUGAACACGUUAAUCUAGCCUAAGUCAGUUUUUUUUCUUUCACCAAAGCUUCAAUAUGCAUCUGAUCUCAGGAUAUUGGAUUUUUCUUUGAGGCAAAGUGGGAUGUGAGCAUGAGAUUCUUAAGCAUGCUUCUGUGGGACUCUUCUAAAUACUGCAGUGCCUGGCAAUAAAGCAGAACCAUGCACCCAGCAACACCUUUGAUCUCAACCAUAUGGAGCUCCUCCGUGCUCUUGAAAAAAAAUUUCCCUUGCCUCCGAUGCAGGCCGAGAGAUACUGGGGCCCCCAGAUGGCUUAAUACCACUCAUGACUGUGACUUCAUUGAUUAUUUUCUUUCCUGAUUGGUCCUGAUUGAAAAUAAAUAAAACAUGCACUUGGAACUGGAUGCAAAUUGGUGU
Molecule: long non-coding RNA, 426 nt
Organism: Dermochelys coriacea (leatherback sea turtle)
Lineage: Eukaryota; Metazoa; Chordata; Testudines; Dermochelyidae
Exons: 3
Source: RefSeq, a predicted model, not a curated record